GUUUGAGCACAAAAUAUUUAUAUAGCAUAUAAAUCAGAUGAGAUUUAGGGCUUGUUUGGUUCAAAAGUGGAAUUGAAAUGGAUAAUGGAAUGGAAAUGAAUUGAAAUGGUAAUUGGAAUGACCACUCCCCCAAGACGUUUGGUUUAUUUGUGGAUUGAAAAUUGGAAUGAGUUAUUCACAUUUUCUUGUUUGGUUCGUAUAAACUAAAAAAAUUAUAGAAUACUAUAAGGACUUGUUUGGUUCAAAAGUGGAAUUGGAAUGGAUAAUGGAAUGGGAAUGAAUUUGAAUGGUAAUUGGAAUGGUCACUCCCCCAAGACGUUUGGUUUAUUUGCGGAUUGAAAAUUGGAAUGAGUUAUUCACAUUUCAUUGUUUGGUUCGUAUAAACUAAAAUAAUUAUAGAAUACUAUAAUACUAAUUUUACUCUCAAAUAUAAAUUUAUAUUAUUUAAAUUUAUGAAAAAUAUAAUACUAUUCUCUAAUAAGUUUUUCAAAAAAAAUAUCAAAUUUAUUUUUAAAAACUUUUAUUGAUGUGGGUUAGGGAUAGGGUUUUGAGAGAGGAUAGGUUUUUUGUUUUUAUUUUUUUUAUUUUUUGAUAAGAAAGGGGUGAAGAGAAGGAGGGUGAGAUGGUCACAUGAGCUUCGAGAACUUAGUGGGCUUCCGGAAUGAAAUCUCAAUCCGGACUAGAAGAACAGAAUCAAGUUGAAGACUAAUGGGUUAUUCCCAUUCCAGUCCGGAAUAGGAAUCCCAAACCGAUUCAUGCGAACCAAACAAUAUUAACCGGAUUUGAUCAAACCGAUUCUCAUUCCAUACCCAAAAUGGAUGAACCAAACAAGCCCUUAAUCGAGUUGGAUUCGAUUCAAUUUUAUAUUCAAUCUGAUCAGGGUUGAGCUAAUCAAAUAAGAUUUAAUUCACCUAGUCCCACUUGAUUAUCAUGUUCAAUAUGGUAGGAUUUAAGUCAAAUCAAUUUAAGUUAAUUGGAUCGGAUCAAAUAUAAUUUAGUUGCACUUGAUCCGAUUCAAUCUUGUUGAGCUCAAGUCAAAACCACAUUAUAUAAAUACCUUCCAAAUCCAUGUUGAUAUAUUCUCGUAAACUGAAUUUGUGCUCAGUUUAAAUUAAAGUUUUUAAAUUUUCAUCAUUCAAAUUUCAAACUUCAUCCCAUUCCAUCCAAAUAUCAUAUUCAAAAUUCAAAACUAAAUUUGAAUUUUGAAAUUUUGAAGCCUCAACUGACUCCCAAAUAUAUCUCUUUUUCCAUACAACUCCAAUCGCAUCCUUAUCCAUUCAAAAUUUAAUUUUAAAUUAAAAAAAAAUCCUAAACCAACCCCCAAAUAUCUCUCUUCCACCAACUACUUCAUUUAUAAGGAAUAAUAUCUAAUAUGCCCUUCAAAUCUUCAAAAAUAUUUUAUUUAUUUUU
RNAcentral lists this long non-coding RNA (1410 nucleotides) under Ananas comosus (pineapple). RNAcentral describes it as "long non-coding RNA (ACOM_LNC032993)". The record is from RNAcentral. Lineage: Eukaryota; Viridiplantae; Streptophyta; Magnoliopsida; Poales; Bromeliaceae.